Molecule: ribosomal RNA, 1387 nt
Filed under: Satonius sp. BT0143
Lineage: Eukaryota; Metazoa; Arthropoda; Insecta; Coleoptera; Torridincolidae
Description: eukaryotic LSU rRNA
Rfam family: Eukaryotic large subunit ribosomal RNA
Source: RNAcentral
UAGGAUUCCCCCAGUAGCGGCGAGCGAACAGGGAAGAAGCCCAGCACCGAAUCCCGCGGUCGGAAACGGCCGCCGGGAAAUGUGGUGUUCGGGAGGAUCCGAUUAUCCCGGCGAAGCGCGGUGCGUCCAAGUCCUUCUUGAAUGGGGCCACUUACCCGCAGAGGGUGCCAGGCCCGUAGCGACCGCCGAGCCCGCCGGGAGGAUCUCUCCUUAGAGUCGGGUUGCUUGAGAGUGCAGCUCUAAGUGGGUGGUAAACUCCAUCUAAGGCUAAAUAUGACCACGAGACCGAUAGCGAACAAGUACCGUGAGGGAAAGUUGAAAAGAACUUUGAAGAGAGAGUUCAACAGUACGUGAAACCGUCCAGGGGUAAACCUGAGAAACCCGAAAGGUCGACGGGGGAGAUUCAACUGCCUCGUCGCGGGCGGCGGCGCGGGCGCCACGAGGCUGCGGUGCGAGACGGUUUCGGCCGUCCCGUCUCCGACGGCUCAGUGUCCCGCUAACCGGUAACCGCCAGCGAAGGCAUGCACUUCUCCCUCUGUAGGACGUCGCGACCCGUCGGGUGCCGGACUAAGGCCCGCUGGGUAGCCCGCCCGCGUUCGCGCGGACGGACCCGCGGUGAUUCCCGUCCGGCCGCCCGACGGUAUCAGUAGAGAGGCACGGGGCCGCCCGCCAUAACAGGGCGUCCGGCCCGCCGCGAGUAGUCAGCGCUGGUCUAAACCCGACCGCCGGACCUGGUCCGGCGCCGGGCCAGCGUCGCUGUCGGCGGCGGUGUCCCCGGACAGACCCCGGAACCGGCACCCGCAAGGGUGCCGCGUGCCGGUCUGCGACGCUUUAGCUUUGGGUACUUUCAGGACCCGUCUUGAAACACGGACCAAGGAGUCUAGCAUGUGCGCGAGUCAUUGGGACUGCGCUAAGCCUAAAGGCGUAAUGAAAGUGAAGGUUCGGCCGGGGCCGGCCGAGGGAGGAUGGGUGCCGUCCGCCGGUCAAACGGCGGCCCGGUGCCCCGCACUCCCGGCGCGUCUCGCGCUCAUCGCGAGCUGAGGCGCAGCCAGAGCGUACACGCUGGGACCCGAAAGAUGGUGAACUAUGCCUGGUCAGGACGAAGUCAGGGGAAACCCUGAUGGAGGUCCGUAGCGAUUCUGACGUGCAAAUCGAUCGUCGGAACUGGGUAUAGGGGCGAAAGACUAAUCGAACCAUCUAGUAGCUGGUUCCCUCCGAAGUUUCCCUCAGGAUAGCUGGCGCUCGCGACACAAUAUGCGAGUCUCAUCCGGUAAAGCGAAUGAUUAGAGGCAUUGGGGUCGAAACGGCCUCAACCUAUUCUCAAACUUUAAAUGGGUGAGAUCUCCCGCUUGCUUGAGAGAGCGAUUAUGAAGCGGCGAGACUCACG